AUGAUGUGCGGUUUCAGUACUACUAGGUGUGAGGAGGAGGAAGUUAGCCUUGAUGGCCAGGUGGUACCUCAGAAGGACACCUUUCGGUAUUUGGGGUCAAUGCUGCAGGAGGAUGGGGGUAUUGAUGAAGAUGUGAACCAUCGAAUCAAAGCCGAAUGGAUGAAGUGGCGCCAAGCUUCUGGCAUUCUCUGUGACAAGAGAGUGCCACAAAAGCUAAAAGGCAAGUUCUACAGGACGGCGGUUCGACCCGCAAUGUUGUAUAGCGCUGAGUGUUGGCCGACUAAAAGGCGACAUGUUCAACAGUUAGGUGUGGCAGAGAUGCGUAUGUUGAGAUGGAUGUGUGGCCACACGAGGAAGGAUCGA
RNAcentral lists this ribosomal RNA (363 nucleotides) under Triticum aestivum (bread wheat). RNAcentral's name for it is "partial small subunit ribosomal RNA". The record is from RNAcentral. Lineage: Eukaryota; Viridiplantae; Streptophyta; Magnoliopsida; Poales; Poaceae.